Molecule: long non-coding RNA, 3437 nt
Filed under: Taeniopygia guttata (zebra finch)
Lineage: Eukaryota; Metazoa; Chordata; Aves; Passeriformes; Estrildidae
Description: lncRNA (ENSTGUG00000023029.1)
Source: RNAcentral
CUCUCAGUCCAGGCCUCAAACCAGCAGAAAUUAGACCCAUUUCUCGGCGUGCCCAACAUCUGUGCAACUGAUGUUGCCGGCGCUUAGUGGUUUUGUUUGCGAGGGCGUUGCAAACCAGGCGGAGAAACUUCUAACUUUCUUUUUAACCGAAAGUGUUUAAAAAGCCACAAAUCAAGAGCAGAAAAUAGCAUGAGCAUGUUGAGAUGAUGUUUAAUGAUUUCCUGAUGGAAAAUGGGAGCUGCAAACAAAGAAAGCACCAGACCAGCAGCUCUUGGAUCACAUACAUCUCUGGUGUGUGCUCUGUUUGAGUGCAGGGGUUAAUGAUGGUUAAUUUAUCACAUCAAUAACUAUUUCCUGAUGACUCUUCCCUGUCUACAAAGCUGAUUACUCAAUGUUUUUUAAUGAGCAUCUCUGGGCCAUCAAUCAGAUCAUAACUUGCUUUAAGUGUAUUUAUAAAUAAAUUGUGGUCUGUCCCAGACACAUAAGUUGGUGGCUUUGGGUCCAGUUGGGUGGGAACGCCUUGUCCCAUGCCAAGGAAUUCCUGUGCUCCGAGUCACCUCUCACUUUCCAAGGCCUCUUGCACUGUGAGGAAAAUCUGGCAUCAAAAUAAUGCUAAAAAAGUAAAAGGAUGUGGCAGUGGCCAAAGGGAGCAGGAAAAAGAAAGCCCAGAGGGCAAAGGGCUGUUUGCAUUUUGUAAUAUGGAUAUUUUUCCACUCAAGGAUUUUGGGGAGGAUGGAAGUGCAAUGCUGAGCAGUGUUUUGGAUGUGUUAUUGCAAAUUGCACUGCCCUUCCACAGAGGAAUGGUGGGAAGCAGUUGGGUAUUUCCCCCUUGGAGCCCUCCAGGAUGGGCUGUUGGCACUGGGACUGCAGAAUUUUUGGCCAGAGACAGGCAGGGAAAUGCUUUUAUUUACAGGCAGCCUUGGAGGUCUUGGAAAGCAAGGAGAAAGGAAAGGCACUGCUGGAGCAUUUGGCAGCAUGGUGAAGGGAUGUAGCAUGGUCAGAUUUGACGUGGUAUUUCAGGAGCGGAGGGUGACAAGGGACAGGGAUACACGGACACAGGUAAGAGGACAAAAAGGCUGAUUUAAGGCAUCUUCCCGGAUAAAGGGAGAAGCACUACAAGCUGAGGCUUGGGGAGCAUUGCUUUGCCUGAAAAGCACAGCCCCGUGUUUUCCCUUGGGAGGAGCUCGAGGAAUUCUGAGCCGCAUGCAGGAGAUGCUGCAGGGCUGGGGCUGCAGGAGCUGGAUCCUGUCCCGCUGCCAUGGGCUGCAGCGGCUCGGCCUGUCCUUGGGCUCCUCACCCUGUCACGAGAACUUCUGCAAGCACCCAGGUCUGCAGAAGUAAACCAACCACACAUCCUGCCUUGAAAAAAUAACAUUUUGAGGGGCUGGGCUCCACAACCUUGUGGAGUGCCCCCCAAGACCACCCAGGUGUAAACCCCGCUCCAAGUCCCUCCUCUUGUCCCUGUGGCAGCGGCAAAGGGCAGAGAGGAUGGCAGCGCUCCGGAUGGCUCCAGCCCUUCCCUUGGCUGCUGCAAUACGCCCGUCAGCUCUUGCAAUCCCUCUUGGCAGGCUGGGGAGAGCGGGAAGGACCUGGCUGCCUUCCAAGGAGCAGCAAAUGCAAAUAUUUCCUCACUUCAGGCUGGGUGCGGCCCGCGGAUAAAAUUUCCUUGGGCUUUCCCAGCGAAGGCAUCCGAUCUCUCGCUCUGCUGCGAGGCCAACUUGCUCCCAGGAACACAACCACGCGUCCCAUAAAAAAAGCCUAAAGGUUAUCUUUUUACAACUCAAAGGACUGCCUGGUUUUUAAAAAGAGGUUUUAAAUUGAAAAAGGAACUGUCAGGCACAGCUGUAGUGUUUUCAAAUCAGCGGUUAAAGUGUUGACUCACAAAAAACAAAACAAAACAACCCUUUCUGCAGGUUUCUUUGGAAAAUGGAAGAUUUGUUGUGUGGUGCAAGGAAAGUGGGAUGAUAAAGGGGCUGGAAAAGGUGCUGGGAGCAAGGUUGGGUGCUGGCAAUGGUUUUUCUCAAAUAAGAUAGAAAGAACUGCAGAAAAACUUUUCUUUUUUUUUUCCGUUUGCAUCCUAGGUUAAUGGCAGUCACAUCCCAGCCAGCUCCCUGCAGCGCUGUUCUUCCCCACAGAGCAUUCAGACCUAUUUUCUGCAUGUUCCUUCGACACAACCUAAAAAAAAAUUACAUUUCUUAAAUGAAAAGCAGUCUGAUCUUGCUGAUUCUGGAAAAGGCAAAAAACAGCAGGGAUUAUACAAGGAACAGCCCAAGUGUGGAUUUCUCCAGGUCAUGCAGCACAGGUGAGAUAUAUAUUAAAAAAAAACCAGCUGUAUGCUAAUAUUCUCAUUUAUCCCCAAUUUUCCUGGCAAAACUGAACCACCCACUGCCACAAUGUAGUUUUAAAACACAUCGAUUUUGAUAGCAUGAGGGGAAAGGGAUGAGGCGAGUGCGCAAGCGCGUUACUAGGCUGCAAGUGGUAUACUGGCUUCUUUAUAAAAUAAAGGAUAAAAAGCCCAACCCACCCUAUUUUUCAAAACAGACGCACAGCACACACCUGUGAGCAGAGUUUUGUUAUUUCAUACCCCAGAUUUCCCUCAUGUAUCAGUGAAUAUAGCAUCCUGCAGCCCUAUUUCCUGAAAAUUACCAAUUUUCACCCAGAUUUGGCUUCAAGUGGUUUUAAGUUAUAUCUUUAUUUUGAUGGAAUGUCCAGUAAAGCAGUGUGAGUGAGGUGUUUUAUUGAAAUAAAAACAUGGAUAUUUUUUGAAGAGGUUAUCCCCUUUGUCAAGGUGGAUUAUUGAUAUCAGGGGAAAAAAAGUGGAGAAGGACGGGGAAUAAAUAUAUGUAAUAUUAUAUCCCUUAAUUCUCCGUGCAGCUAAACUUUUCCUCACAGCCAAGCUGUGGAAUAUGCUUUAAUCUCAUUUACUGGAUUGAUUCGUCUGAGUAUGGUGGGUUUUUUAUUUUAUUGUUUGCUUGCUUUUUUGCUGAAGCGAUGGGGCUCUAGGCGGGGAGUUCAGCACGAAGUGUUUCGGGAGGAAAAAGAGAAAUUCCCGAAGAAAAAAGAUGAAAUGAGGAGGAAAAUGAGGGUUUUGGGGGACAAAAGGCGGCGCCGGCCGGGGCUGCCCCUCACGGCCCCUCAGGCGCUGCCCCCCCGCGCUCGCUUCACAAAAUGGCCGCCCGGCGGGGCCGCGGGAGCGGCUCUGAGGCGACAAAAUGGCGGCGGGCGGAGAGCGGCGCGGGCAUAACGGAGGGGCUCUAAUCCUGUGGGAAUCCCCUCCGGGCGGGCGGCGAAAGCGCUGCGGGUGAAACCUGACCUUCUUAUUAUCCCCUCCUCCCUCCUGCCCUUUUCUCCUCGCCGCCUUUGCGAAAGGAUGUGAAAAUGGCCAGAAAUGCGCGUUUUUAUUCGGCCAUGGCGGAGCCCCCGGUCCUCUCACCUCA